This 410-nucleotide ribosomal RNA is filed under the name uncultured eukaryote. RNAcentral's name for it is "bacterial SSU rRNA". It matches the Rfam family "Eukaryotic small subunit ribosomal RNA", at positions 82 to 469 of the family's 1831-position model. The record is from RNAcentral.
GGAAACUGCGAACGGCUCAUUAAAUCAGUUGCGAUCUACUCGGCGUUCCGCGCCGCCGGAUAACCGUAGUAAUUCUAGGGCUAAUACGUGCGAAGCGCCCGAAGCCGCGAGGCGACGGGCGUUCUCGCCGGAUGUAGGAACCGACCCGGGGACCGCCGGGGCAAACCCCGGCGCCCCCGAGACGGGGCGAACCACGGUGAAAUGACGGAUCGUCGGCCCCGCGCCGGCGACUCGCCGAAUGAGUUUCUGACCUAUCAACUCGAGACGGCGGGGUAGAGGCCCGCCGCGGUAACGACGGGUAACGGGGAAUCAGGGUUCGAUUCCGGAGAGGGAGCCCGAGAAACGGCUACCACUUCCAAGGAAGGCAGCAGGCGCGCAACUUACCCUAAUCUCGAUUCGAGGAGGUAGUG